Molecule: ribosomal RNA, 244 nt
Filed under: uncultured Staphylococcus sp.
Lineage: Bacteria; Bacillati; Bacillota; Bacilli; Caryophanales; Staphylococcaceae
Description: partial 16S ribosomal RNA
Rfam family: Bacterial small subunit ribosomal RNA
Source: RNAcentral
CGGCGGACGGGUGAGUAACACGUGGAUAACCUACCUAUAAGACUGGGAUAACUUCGGGAAACCGGAGCUAAUACCGUAUAAUAUUUUGAACCGCAUGGUUCAAAAGUGAAAGACGGUCUUGCUGUCACUUAUAGAUGGAUCCGCGCUGCAUUAGCUAGUUGGUAAGGUAACGGCUUACCAAGGCAACGAUGCAUAGCCGACCUGAGAGGGUGAUCGGCCACACUGGAACUGAGACACGGUCCAG